RNAcentral lists this ribosomal RNA (587 nucleotides) under uncultured bacterium. RNAcentral's name for it is "bacterial SSU rRNA". It matches the Rfam family "Bacterial small subunit ribosomal RNA", at positions 337 to 916 of the family's 1533-position model. The record is from RNAcentral.
UCCUACGGGAGGCAGCAGUGGGGAAUAUUGGACAAUGGGGGGAACCCUGAUCCAGCCAUGCCGCGUGUGUGAAGAAGGCCCUCGGGUUGUAAAGCACUUUCAGCGAGGAAGAACGCCUAGCGGUUAAUACCCGCUAGGAAAGACAUCACUCGCAGAAGAAGCACCGGCUAACUCCGUGCCAGCAGCCGCGGUAAUACGGAGGGUGCAAGCGUUAAUCGGAAUUACUGGGCGUAAAGCGCGCGUAGGUGGCUUGAUAAGCCGGUUGUGAAAGCCCCGGGCUCAACCUGGGGACGGCAUCCGGAACUGUCAAGCUAGAGUGCAGGAGAGGAAGGUAGAAUUCCCGGUGUAGCGGUGAAAUGCGUAGAGAUCGGGAGGAAUACCAGUGGCGAAGGCGGCCUUCUGGACUGACACUGACACUGAGGUGCGAAAGCGUGGGUAGCAAACAGGAUUAGAUACCCUGGUAGUCCACGCCGUAAACGAUGUCGACCAGCCGUUGGGUGCCUAGCGCACUUUGUGGCGAAGUUAACGCGAUAAGUCGACCGCCUGGGGAGUACGGCCGCAAGGUUAAAACUCAAAUGAAUUGACGG